UAUGAAUUGUAAAAUUAGUGAUCUUAGUAUUAAUAGUUUAGAUCUUUAAAUUAAAAGAAUUUGGCGGUAAUUUAGUCUUUUCAGAGGAACCUGCCCUGUAACUGAUAGUCCACGAUAAAUUUUACUUUAUCUUUGUUUGUAUACCUCUGUCAUUGAAUGCUUUAUUAGGAUGGAUUUUCUUUAACUUUUAUGAAUUUAAUGUCAGGUCAAGGUGCAGCUGUGAUAAAGAAGAGGUGGGUUACAUUGAAUUUAUUUAUGGAGAUAAAUAUGUAAAUUUUAUUGAAAUAGGAUUUGAAAGUAAGUUUUAUUAGAAUAUAAAAUUGAUUUUAGCUCUAAAUUAUGC
Molecule: ribosomal RNA, 343 nt
Filed under: Rhodnius prolixus
Lineage: Eukaryota; Metazoa; Arthropoda; Insecta; Hemiptera; Reduviidae
Description: partial 12S ribosomal RNA
Source: RNAcentral